This 497-nucleotide ribosomal RNA is filed under the name uncultured bacterium. Its description in RNAcentral is "partial 16S ribosomal RNA". It matches the Rfam family "Bacterial small subunit ribosomal RNA", at positions 28 to 507 of the family's 1533-position model. The record is from RNAcentral.
GAUGAACGCUGGCGGCGUGCCUAAUACAUGCAAGUCGAGCGAACAGACGAGGAGCUUGCUCCUUUGACGUUAGCGGCGGACGGGUGAGUAACACGUAGGUAACCUACCUAUAAGACUGGGAUAACUUCGGGAAACCGGAGCUAAUACCGGAUAAUAUUUCGAACCGCAUGGUUCGAUAGUGAAAGAUGGCUUUGCUAUCACUUAUAGAUGGACCUGCGCCGUAUUAGCUAGUUGGUAAGGUAACGGCUUACCAAGGCAACGAUAUGUAGCCGACCUGAGAGGGUGAUCGGCCACACUGGAACUGAGACACGGUCCAGACUCCUACGGGAGGCAGCAGUAGGGAAUCUUCCGCAAAGGGCGAAAGCCUGACGGAGCAACGCCGCGUGAGUGAUGAAGGUCUUCGGAUCGUAAAACUCUGUUAUUAGGGAAGAACAAACGUGUAAGUAACUGUGCACGUCUUGACGGUACCUAAUCAGAAAGCCACGGCUAACUACGUG